RNAcentral lists this ribosomal RNA (261 nucleotides) under uncultured archaeon. Its description in RNAcentral is "partial 16S ribosomal RNA". It matches the Rfam family "Archaeal small subunit ribosomal RNA", at positions 748 to 1009 of the family's 1478-position model. The record is from RNAcentral.
CAGCCGUAAACUAUGCUCGCUAGGUGUCAGGCAUGGCGCGACCGUGUCUGGUGCCGCAGGGAAGCCGUGAAGCGAGCCACCUGGGAAGUACGGCCGCAAGGCUGAAACUUAAAGGAAUUGGCGGGGGAGCACAACAACGGGUGUAGCCUGCGGUUUAAUUGGACUCAACGCCGGACAACUCACCGGGGACGACAGCAAUAUGUAGGCCAGGCUGAAGACCUUGCCUGAAUCGCUGAGAGGAGGUGCAUGGCGUAGACGUCU